UNGGUUAGGUAAGGCUGUGAGGGUGGUA
RNAcentral lists this non-coding RNA (28 nucleotides) under Rattus norvegicus (Norway rat). The record is from RNAcentral. Lineage: Eukaryota; Metazoa; Chordata; Mammalia; Rodentia; Muridae.